GACGAACGCUGGCGGCGUGCUUAACACAUGCAAGUCGAACGGAAAGGCCUGCUUUCCCUUGUGGAUUGCGGGUACUCGAGUGGCGAACGGGUGAGUAACACGUGAGUGAUCUGCCCCCAACUUGGGUAUAAGCCUGGGAAACUGGGUCUAAUUCCCGAUAGGACUGCAGGGUGGUGCCUGUGGUGGAAAACGAUUUUCUAGUGGUUGGGGAUGAGCUCGCGGCCUAUCAGCUUGUUGGUGGGGUAAUGGCCUACCAAGGCGGCGACGGGUAGCCGGCCUGAGAGGGUGGACGGCCACAUUGGGACUGAGAUACGGCCCAGACUCCUACGGGAGGCAGCAGUGGGGAAUAGUGGACAAUGGGCGGAAGCCUGAUGCAGCGACGCCGCGUGGGGGAUGACGGCCUUCGGGUGGUAAACUCCUUUCGACCGCGAGGAAGCCACCUGGUUGGAAGGGUGGUGACGGUAGUGGUAGAAGAAGCACCGGCUAACUACGUG
Molecule: ribosomal RNA, 494 nt
Filed under: uncultured bacterium
Lineage: Bacteria
Description: partial 16S ribosomal RNA
Rfam family: Bacterial small subunit ribosomal RNA
Source: RNAcentral